AAUCUGUCAAGCGGAAGGCGCCAAUAA
This 27-nucleotide small RNA is filed under the name Bombyx mori (domestic silkworm). RNAcentral's name for it is "ovarian small RNA-10811". The record is from RNAcentral. Lineage: Eukaryota; Metazoa; Arthropoda; Insecta; Lepidoptera; Bombycidae.